Molecule: long non-coding RNA, 956 nt
Filed under: Elaeis guineensis (African oil palm)
Lineage: Eukaryota; Viridiplantae; Streptophyta; Magnoliopsida; Arecales; Arecaceae
Description: long non-coding RNA (EGUI_LNC029137)
Source: RNAcentral
UCGGAAGCUUUGCCUGGGAUAGACAAGGAGGAGGGGUACCGCGGGACCCAAAACCAACAGGGGAAGGGGUGGGUUGGCGAUGGCAGCAGAGGAGCGGUAGCGACAAAGGCAGUGGUGGUCAUUCUCGAUCUCCAGUUGGGCACGACGGUGGUGGAGGGGCUCCGACGGCUCCAGAUCCGCUCAUUCUCUAUUCGGGAGUGGGGAGGGGGCUGGGUUGGUGGCGGCAAUGGAGGAGGAGCAAUAGUGACAGAGGUGGCGGUGGUCAUCCUCGAUCUCCAGCUGGGCACAGUGGUGGCCGAGAAGGGGCUCUGGUGGCUCCAGAUCCACUCAUUCUCCAUUUGGAAGUGCGGUGGAGGAGGGGUUCCGAUGGCUCUAGAUAUGCUUAUUCUCCAUUCGAGAGUGGGGAGGGGGCCUGGGUUGGCGGCCGAGGAGCGGUAGUGACAAAGGUGGCGGUGGUCGUCCUCGAUUUCCAGUUGGGCAUGAUGGCGGCAGUGGAGGGGCUCCGACGGCUCUAGAUCCGCUCAUUCUCCAUUCGGGAGUACUUGGAGAGUAGAAGGGGACUUUGCCUGAGAUAGAUGGGGAGGAUGGGGUACCGCAGGACCCAAAAUCGGUGGAGGAGAGUGGAUCGACGACGGUGGAGGAGGAGGGGUUGGUGGUAGCUACAUCUAUAACAAUCUUGAGGGUAGAUCGGUAGCGAUGGAGGCGACGGUGGUCAUCCUCGAUCUCCUACUGGGCGCGAUGGUGGCAGAUGAGGGGCUUCUGCAUUGCAAAGAUCAGCUUGCGAUCUGCUCCUUUGCUCAGGAGUACAAAGGGGGAGGAGGGGGCUUUGCCUAGGAUUGAUGGGAAAGAAGGGUACCAUGCGAAGACUGACCGCUCGACUCCUUCUGCUUUUCCAAAACACCACGCGGCUCCUCUAGCCUUUUCCAAUAGACCACGUGUCAAACAGAAACGCACCA